GCUGACGAGUGGCGGACGGGUGAGUAAUGUCUGGGAAACUGCCUGAUGGAGGGGGAUAACUACUGGAAACGGUAGCUAAUACCGCAUAACGUCGCAAGACCAAAGAGGGGGACCUUCGGGCCUCUUGCCAUCAGAUGUGCCCAGAUGGGAUUAGCUUGUUGGUGGGGUAACGGCUCACCAAGGCGACGAUCCCUAGCUGGUCUGAGAGGAUGACCAGCCACACUGGAACUGAGACACGGUCCAGACUCCUACGGGAGGCAGCAGUGGGGAAUAUUGCACAAUGGGCGCAAGCCUGAUGCAGCCAUGCCGCGUGUAUGAAGAAGGCCUUCGGGUUGUAAAGUACUUUCAGCGGGGAGGAAGGUGUUGUGGUUAAUAACCGCAGCAAUUGACGUUACCCGCAGAAGAAGCACCGGCUAACUCCGUGCCAGCAGCCGCGGUAAUACGGAGGGUGCAAGCGUUAAUCGGAAUUACUGGGCGUAAAGCGCACGCAGGCGGUCUGUUAAGUCAGAUGUGAAAUCCCCGGGCUCAACCUGGGAACUGCAUCUGAUACUGGCAGGCUUGAGUCUCGUAGAGGGGGGUAGAAUUCCAGG
RNAcentral lists this ribosomal RNA (590 nucleotides) under Citrobacter koseri. RNAcentral describes it as "bacterial SSU rRNA". It matches the Rfam family "Bacterial small subunit ribosomal RNA", at positions 87 to 673 of the family's 1533-position model. Lineage: Bacteria; Pseudomonadati; Pseudomonadota; Gammaproteobacteria; Enterobacterales; Enterobacteriaceae. The record is from RNAcentral.